Molecule: ribosomal RNA, 492 nt
Filed under: uncultured bacterium
Lineage: Bacteria
Description: partial 16S ribosomal RNA
Rfam family: Bacterial small subunit ribosomal RNA
Source: RNAcentral
GAUGAACGCUAGCUACAGGCUUAACACAUGCAAGUCGAGGGGAAACGACAUCGAAAGCUUGCUUUUGAUGGGCGUCGACCGGCGCACGGGUGAGUAACGCGUAUCCAACCUGCCCACCACUUGGGGAUAACCUUGCGAAAGUAAGACUAAUACCCAAUGAUAUCCCACGAAGACAUCUGAAUGGGAUUAAAGAUUUAUCGGUGAUGGAUGGGGAUGCGUCUGAUUAGCUUGUUGGCGGGGUAACGGCCCACCAAGGCAACGAUCAGUAGGGGUUCUGAGAGGAAGGUCCCCCAGAUUGGAACUGAGACACGGUCCAAACUCCUACGGGAGGCAGCAGUGAGGAAGAUUGGUCAAUGGGCGAGAGCCUGAACCAGCCAAGUAGCGUGCAGGAAGACGGCCCUAUGGGUUGUAAACUGCUUUUAUAAGGGAAUAAAGUGGGUCACGUGUGACUUUUUGCAUGUACCUUAUGAAUAAGGACCGGCUAAUUCCGUG